GAUGAACGCUGGCGGCGUGCCUAAUACAUGCAAGUCGAGCGAACAGACGAGGAGCUUGCUCCUCUGACGUUAGCGGCGGACGGGUGAGUAACACGUGGAUAACCUACCUAUAAGACUUGGAUAACUUCGGGAAACCGGAGCUAAUACCGGAUAAUAUAUUGAACCGCAUGGUUCAAUAGUGAAAGACGGUUUUGCUGUCACUUAUAGAUGGAUCCGCGCCGAAUUAGCUAGUUGGUAAGGUAACGGCUUACCAAGGCAACGAUGCGUAGCCGACCUGAGAGGGUGCUCCGCCACACUGGAACUGAGACACGGUCCAGACUCCUACGAGAGGCAGCAGAAGGGAAUAUUCCGCAAUGGGCGCAAACAUGACGGAGCAACGCCGCGUGAGUGAUAAAGGUCUUAGGAUCGUAAAACUCUGUUAUUAGGGAAGAACAAAUGUGUAAGUAACUAUGCACGUCUUGACGGUACCUAAUCAGAAAGCCACGGCUAACUCCGUG
RNAcentral lists this ribosomal RNA (497 nucleotides) under uncultured bacterium. Its description in RNAcentral is "partial 16S ribosomal RNA". It matches the Rfam family "Bacterial small subunit ribosomal RNA", at positions 28 to 507 of the family's 1533-position model. The record is from RNAcentral.